CAGAUCAGCGUCUGCUGUGCCGAGGUGAGAGCCACCUGAUGAUGUUCCAAUCGUCCUACUGCCAGCUGACACCUCCACAGGAGAAAGAAGGGCUCGAAUCCUGACAGGCAAGCCCAAGAGAGAAGAGGAAAUUGAGUGUGGCAGGCAAGGGACAAACACGACGCCAAAGAGCUCCCAGCAAGGGCCCGAGCAGGUCCGGUGCAGACAGCUGGGCGCUUCGAAGGGAUGAGCCCCUCAGGCACUGGGUCAGAGGAAGCCGCUGAGCAGGAGAAGGAAAGGCCCCCUCGAUCCGUGUGGAUGAUCAACCCCCCAAAUCCCCAGAGCCUCAAACAGUGGCUCAAGGAGCCAAAGCCAAAGAUCAAGGAUCAGCUUGUUUUAAUCCAAAAAAGAAAAAAAACAAACAAACAAGUAGAGACAUCUUGGACAUUCACCAGAGUUUUUAAAAGACAUUUUUACGGGUAAAAAUUAGGAAACUGCUAUGGGAAAUAUUACACUCUGUGACCCUGUACCCGAAAAGCCUCCAGGUGUGGCACUUCACAGAGAAGAGGUCUCACCUGUCCAGCAGAUACCUAGACGGGUCUGAGAGGAGAGACCAAGAGCUCAGAAAGGAAACCAGACAGACGGAUCCUCUCAGAUGUGGGCAAGAAAUCUCACAGUUUCACUGCUUUACAGACGCGGCUCGGCGGUGCUGGCAAGAUUGUUCAGCAUUGAGACACUGGGCAAAGAGACAGAAAACAAAAGAAACAGGCACUUCUCUGCCCAGAGCAGGGGUGGGGAAAACCAGGCCCCCGAGGAAGCAGCACAGACAACAACCCUGAAAACAACCCAAAUGCUCCCUGCUGGCAGGCCACAUGAUGAAGCGUGGGACAGCGCCACCUUGGAACACUGCAAGCAGGGGACAGAAGGAGGGACCUGCAGCACACGCAGCACUCCGGUGAGUCUCAGAAGAGCGACUGGCACCCAGCUCCACGUACACAAAGGGCAGAGUCGGCCAAACCAGCCACCCGCUGUUCAAGGAGGCAGACAAGUGCAGGGAGGCAACAAAGAAAAACCAGGAAUGGUCAGGCCACAGUGCAGACUCCUGGCAGGAGGCGGGACGAACCAGGGAGCGGAACAGCUUCUGGUUAACACUCCUGUAAGUAACCUGGAGCACAAUCUCCAAGUCUACUGAGGAAGCUAGCAUGCUCUGUGCAGAAGUCCCAAAGAGAAGGCGGAAGGACAGGAGACCUUCCAGACCCAGGGAGGAGCCAGGGACUAAAGCUGUGCAACACUUGCUGAGUACCCCCUCACAUCACCUGACCAGAGACUGGGCAAACGGAGCAGGACCACACGGCCUGGUGACUACGGCAACAGCGCCUGAAGCAGGGCUUCGGAGGGUUCGGCCCACAGGAGAUGCCCAGAAAAUACCACUCUGUGCUAACAAAUAGAAGACAACAGAAGCCAGGGCCUCUCCACCUGGGAGGGCAGGCGGGCAUCACGCAACAGAAGUGAAAUCCCAGGAACGCCCCCAAGAGGGGAAGAAGGGCAGAGUUAAAGCCACUCAGCGAAAAUAUCAAAGUCCAAAACACAUCAUGGGCUGGCCCCGUGGCCGAGUGGUUAAGUUCACGCGCUCCGCAGCAGGCGGCCCGGUGUUUCGUUGGUUCGAAUCCUAGGCGCAGACAUGGCACUGCUCAUCAAACCAUGCUGAGGCAGCGUCCCACAUGCCACAACUAGGAGGACCCACAACGAAGAAUAUACAACUAUGUACCGGGGGGCUUUGGGGUGAAAAAGGAAAAAAUAAAAUCUUAGAAAAAAACAAAUAAAUACAACACAUCAGCCCCGUGCAGCCCUGCCGCCUCCAAUUCACAGUCUGCUCAACCCUGAGUUUGUCUUUCCCAAACACUGAUCUCAAGUGACUCCCCUGCUCACAGCUUUCAAUAGAUUCCUGAUGCCAGGAUAAAGUCCACGCUCCAAGCUGUCCUGCAGAGCGCUUCCCACAGGGGGCCCCGGCCCACCUCUCAGCUCGGCCCCUUCCAGGCACAGCUCAGUGCCCCCUCUUCUGUGAAGCAGGCCCUGCAUUUCUCCCCUGCCCAACGUCAGCACUAGCCAGUCAGCUGCUGCCCUCCACACACCUCCCCUUCUGCCCAUGCUCCCCCCACCCCCACAGCCAGACUCCAAGGUUAGGGACCCUGCGUCCCAGAAGGCAGCAACGAGCCCAGCAGCUGCAGCAGGCGUGCAGCAGGCGUGCGCCCUCAUAAACGUUUAUUAGGUGAGCAGGCGGUCAGGAAGAAGCAGUGCGGAGAAGAGAUAGGGCGGGACAAUACUGGAGAGAAGAGAAGGUGGCGGGAAGGGGGGAUGAUAAAGGAGGGAAUCUGCUGCCCAGCCCUGCCCUCGUCAGCAGUUCCAAAACUGUUGUUUACAUUCUGAAAAAUGAGUAGGGGCUCCCAAACAACUUUUGUUUUAUGUGGGCCUAUAUGUUACUACGGUAGAUGUUACUGUUCUAUCUACUGUAUUAGAAAAACUGGUAAUUCAAAAAAGUAACAGAAUAUUAACAAUAAAUCCAUUUUAUCUUAACACAAAUAGCAUUUUUUAUAAAAAAGAAUGAUUCCAAAGGAAAAAAAUUAGUGAGAACAGUGGCACUGUUUUACAUUUUUGCAAAUCUCUUUAACGUCUGGCUUAAUAAAAGCAGCCGGACUGCUAUCUGCUCGGCACUCAGUCUGUCAGGGCGCAUGGUUUUGACUAAGGUCUGCGAAGACCUUCCAGAGAUAGAAGGGAGCGGUAUUUCAACCUUUUC
Long non-coding RNA from Equus caballus (horse), 2773 nucleotides. The record is from Ensembl. Lineage: Eukaryota; Metazoa; Chordata; Mammalia; Perissodactyla; Equidae.